CAAAUUGGCUUAUGGGCAUCAUUGAUUCUGGGUCGAGGGAGACCUCUAAAUCGCCUAGUCGAAAUAUUCCAUAGCACAAAAGCGGAGGCAUAGCAAGGCGAGAUAUCGAAACAGAUAAUACCAUUGCAAGAGGCAAUAAUCUUCGGAUAUCGAAUCAAAGAACCCAAAAACGGUAUCCUCAUCUCGCGCGGAGUUGAGGUUCGAUUAUCGAUCAAAGACAGAGAAAA
This 227-nucleotide unclassified non-coding RNA is filed under the name Hevea brasiliensis (rubber tree). Lineage: Eukaryota; Viridiplantae; Streptophyta; Magnoliopsida; Malpighiales; Euphorbiaceae. The record is from RNAcentral.